UAAUACGUAGGGGGCAAGCGUUGUCCGGAAUUAUUGGGCGUAAAGCGCGCGCAGGCGGCGAAUUAAGUUUGGUGUUUAAGCCCGGGGCUCAACCCCGGAUCGCACUGAAAACUGGUUGGCUUGAGUGCGGGAGAGGAAAGUGGAAUUCCACGUGUAGCGGUGAAAUGCGUAGAGAUGUGGAGGAACACCAGUGGCGAAGGCGACUUUCUGGACCGUAACUGACGCUGAGGCGCGAAAGCGUGGGGAGCAAACAGGAUUAGAUACCCUGGUAGUCCACGCCGUAAACGAUGAGUGCUAGGUGUUAGGGGUUUCGAUACCCUUGGUGCCGAAGUAAACACAGUAAGCACUCCGCCUGGGGAGUACGCUCGCAAGAGUGAA
This 378-nucleotide ribosomal RNA is filed under the name uncultured bacterium. RNAcentral describes it as "bacterial SSU rRNA". It matches the Rfam family "Bacterial small subunit ribosomal RNA", at positions 521 to 898 of the family's 1533-position model. The record is from RNAcentral.